AUUGAACGCUGGCGGCAGGCCUAACACAUGCAAGUCGAACGGUAGCACAGAGAGCUUGCUCUCGGGUGACGAGUGGCGGACGGGUGAGUAACGUCUGGGAAACUGCCCGAUGGAGGGGGAUAACUACUGGAAACGGUAGCUAAUACCGCAUAACGUCGCAAGACCAAAGUGGGGGACCUUCGGGCCUCACACCAUCGGAUGUGCCGAGCUGGGAUUAGCUAGUAGGUGGGGUAAUGGCUCACCUAGGCGACGAUCCCUAGCUGGUCUGAGAGGAUGACCAGCCACACUGGAACUGAGACACGGUCCAGACUCCUACGGGAGGCAGCAGUGGGGAAUAUUGCACAAUGGGCGCAAGCCUGAUGCAGCCAUGCCGCGUGUAUGAAGAAGGCCUUCGGGUUGUAAAGUACUUUCAGCGGGGAGGAAGGCGGUGAAGUUAAUAGCUUCACCGAUUGACGUUACCCGCAGAAGAAGCACCGGCUAACUCCGUGCCAGCAGCCGCCGCGG
This 504-nucleotide ribosomal RNA is filed under the name uncultured bacterium. RNAcentral's name for it is "partial 16S ribosomal RNA". It matches the Rfam family "Bacterial small subunit ribosomal RNA", at positions 29 to 523 of the family's 1533-position model. The record is from RNAcentral.